GACGUAGGGCGCGAGCGUUGUCCGGAUUUAUUGGGCGUAAAGAGCUCGUAGGCGGCUUGUUGCGUCGGCUGUGAAAAACCCGCAGCUCAACUGUGGGCUUGCAGCCGAUACGGGGCAGGCUUGAGUUCGGUAGGGGGAGGCUGGAAUUCCUGGUGUAGCGGUGAAAUGCGCAGAUAUCAGGAGGAACACCGGUGGCGAAGGCGGGUCUCUGGGCAGUAACUGACGCUGAGGAGCGAAAAGCGUGGGGAGCGAACAGG
This 257-nucleotide ribosomal RNA is filed under the name uncultured bacterium. RNAcentral describes it as "partial 16S ribosomal RNA". It matches the Rfam family "Bacterial small subunit ribosomal RNA", at positions 524 to 776 of the family's 1533-position model. The record is from RNAcentral.